Salmo salar (Atlantic salmon) is the source of this 2375-nucleotide non-coding RNA. The record is from RefSeq and is a predicted model, not a curated record. NCBI's taxonomy places the organism in Eukaryota, Metazoa, Chordata, Actinopteri, Salmoniformes, Salmonidae.
UCCUCGUCGUGGAAAGAAAUGGGACAGAGAGGAACGAGAGAGGAACGAAAGUGCCAGAGAGGGGACACCGCUUUCAAUGACUGAUGUUGAACACUUUCGCUUGGAUAAAAGUGAUUGUUUUUUUGGGGGACAAAUACGUUACUAAUUUCCAACAGGUAAUUGUCUUACAACAACAAAAAAUUAUAAUGAACGUGUGAGGAAGAGAAUGGUGAAGAUGUCCUCAAGAACAGAAAGACAAUCAACUUGUUAACAGUCAGUUGAACUAUAUGAAAAACAGACAGAUCGCUCAGGGGACAAAAGGGUACAACAACUACAAAUAGCUGACAUUUUUUUCCCCCACACAUUUUCAACAUUCAAAGACUGUGGUAUUUAUUACCAGCACUUUAGAUAACUAGUUGUGAACUUUUUUUUUGCAGGAGCUUUCUGUCUAAAUCGACUGUCUCUCAGAUAGUAGUUAGCUAUGUUUCCUCUAGACUCGACGUGGAACAUUUCCUUUGCAGGUUGCGGCUUUUUGGGGAUCUAUCAUAUUGGUGUAGCGAGUUGUUUACUGGAACAGAGCCCUUUCCUAGUCCACAACGCCCGUCACAUAUACGGGGCAUCGGCAGGGGCGCUCACCGCAUCUGCGCUGGUCACCGGAGCGUGUUUAGGUGAGGCAGGAGCCAACAUCAUUGAUGUGGCUAAGGAUGCCCGGAAGCGUUUCCUGGGGCCUAUGCACCCAUCCUUCAACCUGGUGAAGAUCAUGCGUAACAUGCUGUAUAAAACCCUGCCAGCCGAUUCUCACCACAGUGCCACAGGGCGUCUCGGCAUAUCACUGACCAGGGUGACCGACGGAGAGAACGUCUUGGUGUCGCACUUCAACAGCAAAGAGGAACUGGUGCAGGCCUGUGUCUGCAGCGCCUACAUCCCUGUGUACUGUGGACUGAUCCCUCCUACACUGCAGGGUGUGCGUUACGUGGACGGUGGUAUCAGUGAUAAUCUGCCUCAGUAUGAGCUGAAGAACACCAUCACUGUGUCUCCGUUCUCUGGAGAAAGCGACAUCUGUCCUAGAGACAGAUCCACCAACAUGCAUGAACUACGAUUCACCAACACCUCUAUCCAGUUCACACUCACCAACCUGUACAGAGUGUCCAGAGCUCUGUUCCCCCCUGAGCCACAGGUCAUGAAGACCAUGUGUAAACAGGGAUAUAAAGACGCCCUUCACUUCCUGAAGAAGAACGGACUACUGAAUCACCCAGGACCCCACAGACCUCUGAUAGCUGACGGUGAGGAUGAGGAAGAUGACAUCAUGAAUGAUGAUGGUGACGACGAAGAGCAUGAGGAGCAUCAUGUAGAGAACGAGAUCAGACCCAACGAGGAUGGGGUAGUGGUGAACCCCUCCCAAUCCAAAUCCGCCAUUGAGGAUCACAUCUUCGAGCACCUGCCACCCAGACUACACAAAGCUCUGGUGGAAGCCUGCAAGGAGAGAUACACUCUGGUCCAGUCGCUAAGCAACCUGCUGCCAGUCAGGAUGAUGACGGCUGUGAUGCUUCCCUAUACCCUCCCCCUGGAGUCUGCUCUGUCCAUGACUGUUAGACUGUUCGAAUGGCUGCCUGAUCUGCAGGAGGACGUGGGAUGGAUUGGAGAACAAACUAUGAAGAUGCUACAGUGUGCUGUGACACGGGCCACCAAGACUGUGUCCAACAGGAUGUCUGCAAAGUUUUCCUACCAGUUGGAGCUGCGUCACUGCCAGUCACUACCAGCCCAGCUCAUCCCUGCCAGCCUCCUCCCAAGCUGGGUGAGUGGAGGCAGUUCCUCUAUCCUGGAUGUUAUCAGUCGUUUGGACCAGUACCAGAGGCAGCUGCUGCCAAGCUUCUUCUGUGUUAACCUGGACCUCCAGGGCUCCUUCUACACCGGGGGGCCCACAGGAGGGAGCCCAGUCCCAGGAGGGUCAACCAGAGCUGGGGAAGAAGGACCAGGACCAGCCCUGGCUUUUACAUCCCCCAUCAUAAACCCAGAGGAGGUAGAGGGGAUGGGGCUGAUGAUGAGGAGGCUCAGUGAAAACCACAACUCUACUGCGGCUCUUCCAGCCUUGCUAUAGUAAUAUGAUGUAUGCCAUUCAGGAGACACUGAGGGCCCCCUGGGGGGGAUGACCAUUAGUAUUACAGACAGAUUCUAAUACCAAGCCAGGUAGACGCUGAGGGCCCCCUGGGGGGGAUGACCAUUAGUAUAACAGACAGAUUCUAAUAAUAAGCCAGGUAGCCGCUGAGGGCCCCCCUAUUAGUAUAACAGACAGAUUCUAAUAACAAGCCAGGUAGACGCUGAGGGGCCCCCCCAUUAGUAUUACAGACAGAUUCUAAUAACAAGCCAGGUAGACGCUGAGGGGCCCCCCAUUAGUA